GACGAACGCUGGCGGCGUGCUUAACACAUGCAAGUCGAACGGAAAGGCCCUGCUUUUGUGUGGUGCUCGCGUGGCGCACGGGUGAGUAACACGUGAGUAACCUUCCCUUGACUUUGGGAUAACUUCAGGCAACUGGGGCUAAUACCUGCUAGGAGCUCCUGCUGCAUGGUGGGGGUUGGAAAUUUUCGGCGGUUGGGGAUGGACUCUCGGCUUAUCAGCUUGUUGGUGGGAGAGUGGCUUACCCAGGCUUUGACGGGUAGCCGGCCUGAGAGGGUGACCGGCCACAUUGGGACUGCGAUACGGCCCAGACUCCUACGGGAGGCAGCAGUGGGGAAUAUGGCACAAUGGGCGGAAGCCUGAUGCAGCAACGCCGCGUGCGGGAUGACGGCCUUCGGGUUGUAAACCGCUUUCGCCUGUGACGAAGCGUGAGUGACGGUAAUGGGUAAAGAAGCACCGGCUAACUACGUG
RNAcentral lists this ribosomal RNA (468 nucleotides) under uncultured bacterium. Its description in RNAcentral is "partial 16S ribosomal RNA". It matches the Rfam family "Bacterial small subunit ribosomal RNA", at positions 28 to 507 of the family's 1533-position model. The record is from RNAcentral.